AGCGAACGCUGGCGGCAGGCCUAACACAUGCAAGUCGAGCGGCCGUAGCAAUACGGCAGCGGCAGACGGGAUAGUAACACGUGGGAACGCGCCCUUCGGUUCGGAAUAACUCAGGGAAACUUGAGCUAAUACCGGAUACGCCUUACGGGAAAGAUUAUUGCCGAAGGAACGGCCCGCGUCCGAUUAGCUAGUUGGUGAGGUAAUGGCUCACCAAGGCGACGAUCGGUAGCUGGUCUGAGAGGAUGACCAGCAUCACUGGGACUGAGACACGGCCCACGACUCCUACGGGAGGGCAGCAGUGGGGAAGUAUUGGACAAUGGGCGCAAGCCUGAUCCAGCCAUGCCGCGUGGAUGAUGAAGGCCCUAGGGUUGUAAAGUCCUUUUAACGGGGAAGAUAAUGACGGUACCCGUA
RNAcentral lists this ribosomal RNA (411 nucleotides) under uncultured bacterium. Its description in RNAcentral is "bacterial SSU rRNA". It matches the Rfam family "Bacterial small subunit ribosomal RNA", at positions 29 to 483 of the family's 1533-position model. The record is from RNAcentral.